AUCACGACCAUGUGAUACAUAUACUAAAAUUGGAACAAUACAGAGAAGAUUAGCAUGGCCCUUGCUCAAGGAUGACACAGAAAUUUGUAGUGUUCCAUAUUAAA
This is a small nuclear RNA of Zalophus californianus (California sea lion), 104 nucleotides long. Lineage: Eukaryota; Metazoa; Chordata; Mammalia; Carnivora; Otariidae. The record is from Ensembl.